This 457-nucleotide ribosomal RNA is filed under the name Panthera pardus (leopard). Its description in RNAcentral is "partial large subunit ribosomal RNA". It matches the Rfam family "Bacterial large subunit ribosomal RNA", at positions 1966 to 2597 of the family's 2925-position model. The record is from RNAcentral. Lineage: Eukaryota; Metazoa; Chordata; Mammalia; Carnivora; Felidae.
CAUUCGUUCCCUAAAUAGGGACUUGUAUGAAUGGCCACACGAGGGCUUUACUGUCUCUUACUUCCGAUCCGUGAAAUUGACCUUCCCGUGAAGAGGCGGGAAUAUGACAAUAAGACGAGAAGACCCUAUGGAGCUUUAAUUAACCGACCCAAAGAGAUCUUAACAACUAACCGAUAGGGACAACAAACCUCUACCAUGGGUCGACAAUUUAGGUUGGGGUGACCUCGGAGAAUAAAACAACCUCCGAGUGAUUUAAAUCUAGACUAACCAGUCGAAAGUACUACAUCACUUAUUGAUCCAAAAACUUGAUCAACGGAACAAGUUACCCUAGGGAUAACAGCGCAAUCCUAUUUUAGAGUCCAUAUCGACAAUAGGGUUUACGACCUCGAUGUUGGAUCAGGACAUCCCGAUGGUGCAGCAGCUAUCAAAGGUUCGUUUGUUCAACGAUUAAAGUCCU